AUGGCAGCCACUGCAGGCUCAGGAAUAAAAGUGCCUUGAAAUCUCUGACUGUUGCAAGAACUCAAAGAAGACCAGAAAGGAAGAAGUGAUGGCACAGUUAGCUUGGGGUCUAGAAGAUAAUGAGGAUAUAAUACAAGAUGGACAAGGAUAAUCAUUGGGCCUCCAAGUACAAUUUAUAAAAACCGAAUAUACAACCUUAAAAUGGAAUGUGAACCUAAAUCCCCAGAAGCACCCCCAGUUUGUAAGAUUUGUAACAAAAUCAAUAUGAAUAUAAUAGUGCUAAUAGAAUAGUGGGCCCAAGAGCCACAUAUCAGUGCUAGCAAAGUGGUAGAAUUCAUAUUGCAUUAGAGUUGUUCUGUAAGAGCUUUGGUGCCUAAUGAUAUCUAAAGAAAAUAUGAAACUCUCUCAGUCACCUGAACGACAAUAUUACAGAAAUU
This 437-nucleotide long non-coding RNA is filed under the name Homo sapiens (human). RNAcentral describes it as "non-protein coding lnc-ERI1-9:1". The record is from RNAcentral. Lineage: Eukaryota; Metazoa; Chordata; Mammalia; Primates; Hominidae.